RNAcentral lists this ribosomal RNA (200 nucleotides) under uncultured bacterium. RNAcentral's name for it is "partial 16S ribosomal RNA". It matches the Rfam family "Bacterial small subunit ribosomal RNA", at positions 8 to 208 of the family's 1533-position model. The record is from RNAcentral.
AGAGUUUGAUCCUGGCUCAGGACGAACGCUGGCGGCGUGCUUAACACAUGCAAGUCGAGCGGUAAGGCCCUUUCGGGGGUACACGAGCGGCGAACGGGUGAGUAACACGUGGGUGAUCUGCCCUGCACUCUGGGAUAAGCCUGGGAAACUGGGUCUAAUACCGGAUAUGAGCUCCUAUCGCAUGGUGGGGGUUGGAAAGG